UGGCGGCGUGCUUGACACAUGCAAGUCGAACGGAACUCUUUGGAUCGAGACUUCGGUCAAGUGAAUCUGAGUUUAGUGGCGGACGGGUGAGUAACGCGUGAGGAACCUGCCUUUCAGAGGGGACAACAGUUGGAAACGACUGCUAAUACCGCAUAACGCAUAUUGAUCGCAUGGUCGAUAUGCCAAAGAUUUAUCGCUGAAAGAUGGCCUCGCGUCUGAUUAGCUAGUUGGUGAGGUAACGGCCCACCAAGGCGACGAUCAGUAGCCGGACUGAGAGGUUGACCGGCCACAUUGGGACUGAGAUACGGCCCAGACUCCUACGGGAGGCAGCAGUGGGGAAUAUUGGGCAAUGGGCGCAAGCCUGACCCAGCAACGCCGCGUGAAGGAAGAAGGCUUUCGGGUUGUAAACUUCUUUUGUCAGGGAAGAGUAGAAGACUGUACCUGGCGAAUAAGCCACGGCUAACUACGUG
Molecule: ribosomal RNA, 470 nt
Filed under: uncultured bacterium
Lineage: Bacteria
Description: bacterial SSU rRNA
Rfam family: Bacterial small subunit ribosomal RNA
Source: RNAcentral